UGAGUGAUGCAUUCUCGUAGCCACCACUGGCAAACUCAGUUUUGUCCACAAAUGUUUGUGAACUGGCCUGAUGUCUAUGCUUGGACUACGGUCAUGACAUCAUUCAGGGAGUGGUGGCACCUGUAUUUAAACUUUUUCUAGGACUUGCCUGAAACUUUCACUCAGCUUAUUUUUUGUGAUGACAAGAUCAGGGACCGUGGAAAGCAGAGGACAAAGACGUGUAAUAAUGACAGGAAACUUGAAGAUGCGGCAAGAUUCCUGAGAACCUACCCUCCAAGAUUGCCCAAAGGGAGGAAGUGCUCAAGGCUUUAGAAGUGGCAAAGAUGAAUUUUGUCUGGGAGAAUCAAUGAAGGCUUCCCGGAGGAGGGAGCAUUUGGUCUGGCUCAUCCAGGACUCUAAGCAGCAUGAACACGGACACAGAGUUGCGUGGGAAAGUAGAGACGUGCGUGGAGAAAUGCACAAAAGUGCAGCUUUGUUUGUGGAACUAUAUGAAGGGAAGAAGUAGAAAACAGGCAAGAGCCAUUCAAGAACCAGUCAAGGGGCCCUGCUGAGAGGAAGAACACAGAUUGACGCCUCCUACACUCUGUGGCCAAAGCUCCCUGUAGCCAGCAGACACGGGUGUCUGUCCCGGCAACGCUGCCCCUGUUCGAAAUGACCAACAAGGAACAGUCACAGGAGCCAGAAAGAAACCUUCGUCGUGUUCACUGAAAAUUCUUCAGUUGAUGGGUAGCAGCAGCUAGCAUUAACCUGAGUAUUAGAACUGUCCAGUCACAACGGAUCCUUGAGGGAACCACAAUCGAGGGCAGUUAGUUCAUCUCUGAGACCAUCUCCUUCUUUCCACUUGCCUGGAGGCAGUGGUCCUUCUUUCCUGCGCUGUCUCAAGAGCAUCACCCACUCCAUCCCUUCCCUUCCCUCCCUGUUUCCUCUCUUUUCCCACAGCCCUAGUCUGAACCAUGCUUUGAGAGCUGAGAAGCUCCCUCGCAAGCUGGCAACACUCACUCAGGUCUCAGGCUGUGCACAAUCUUUGUAUCUAUUUUGGAAUGGGCUAGAGCAGUGAGAGCAGGGAAAUUCAUAGGAAACACACACAGGAGCGCUCCAAGGUAAACCCUUCAACCUGCCCGGGGCCCCCGCUGCGGGUGCUGCAUAACCGAUUCUUCUCCGGUCCCUCCAAGCAGGACACAGGCCCAGUGGGGAGUGCCUUGGCCUGGUUAUAAUAUCCAGCUUUUAUUACUGCUCUUUCUAUAUCUUAUCAGUGGGGUAAAGGGCAAGGGCCUUAGGCAUGUGUCCAAGGACAUGCACCACGCUCACAGCAACUCGCUGGCCCAAUUCAGGCAAGUUGUGCUCUGAGAGGUCUAAUUUCGCAAAAGGCAGGUUAGGCUGUCUUGCAGAU
This is a long non-coding RNA of Herpailurus yagouaroundi (jaguarundi), 1390 nucleotides long. RefSeq lists it as uncharacterized. NCBI's taxonomy places the organism in Eukaryota, Metazoa, Chordata, Mammalia, Carnivora, Felidae. The transcript has 4 exons. The record is from RefSeq and is a predicted model, not a curated record.